This 801-nucleotide ribosomal RNA is filed under the name uncultured bacterium. RNAcentral describes it as "bacterial SSU rRNA". It matches the Rfam family "Bacterial small subunit ribosomal RNA", at positions 1 to 797 of the family's 1533-position model. The record is from RNAcentral.
AGUUGAGAUUCUCAGAUUGCCUCAGAUGUCAUGCUCCAUCGAUCGACGCUGCAGCAGCAUAAGACAUGUAGUCGAGCGAGAAUCCCUCGAGGUGAGUCAGCGCGGACGAGUGAGUACGCGUAGGAUCUACCUAGUAGUGGGGACACUAGUAGAAGCGCUAGCUAAUACCGCAUACGCCCUACGGGAGAAAGCGGAGGACCUUCGAGCCUCGUGCUAUUGGAUGAGCCUGCGUAAGAUUAGCUUGUUGGUGAGGUAAUGGCUCACCAAGGCGACGAUCUUUAGCUGGUCUGAGAGGAUGAUCAGCCACACCGGGACUGAGACACGGCCCGGACUCCUACGGGAGGCAGCAGUCGGGAAUAUUGCGCAAUGGGCGAAAGCCUGACGCAGCCAUGCCGCGUGUGUGAAGAAGGCCCUAGGGUUGUAAAGCACUUUCAAUUGGGAGGAAAAGCUAAUGGUUAAUAACCAUUAGCCCUGACGUUACCUUUAGAAGAAGCACCGGCUAACUCCGUGCCAGCAGCCGCGGUAAUACGGAGGGGUGCAAGCGUUAAUCGGAAUUACUGGGCGUAAAGCGCGCGUAGGCGGUUUUUUAAGUCGGAUGUGAAAGCCCCGGGCUCAACCUGGGAACUGCAUCCGAUACUGGAUCACUAGAAUGCGGGAGAGGGAGGUAGAAUUCCAUGUGUAGCAGUGAAAUGCGUAGAUAUAUGGAGGAAUACCAGUGGCGAAGGCGGCCUCCUGGCUCGACAUUGACGCUGAGGUGCGAAAGCGUGGGGAGCAAACGGGAUUAGAUACCCUGGUAGUCAA